Mastomys coucha (southern multimammate mouse) is the source of this 628-nucleotide long non-coding RNA. RefSeq lists it as uncharacterized. The record is from RefSeq and is a predicted model, not a curated record. NCBI's taxonomy places the organism in Eukaryota, Metazoa, Chordata, Mammalia, Rodentia, Muridae. The transcript is spliced from 3 exons.
CCUAGCAACACUGAUGCCAACUCACCAUGGCAGCAGGACACACACCUCUCCUGCAGGACUGCUCGCCUGGCCCAUGAUGACACCUAGAGGUGCCCUGGGCCAGCCUGAAGGUUGCUGGCCGGGGCCUCUGCGCCAACCUUGCACCUGGGAGAUGCUCUUCACCGCCUCGCCCCGCUCCCUGGCCUACCUGGGAGGGCAGGAGAGGCCUUCAGACCCACGCCCCGCUGUCAGGCCUGCAGGAUUCAGCUAGCUGAGGUGUGCACAGUCAUGGCCAGUUACAUAGGGCUGGGGAUCGCCCCAGGAUUCUGCUCAUGACAGGAAGCUCCUGAUCAACUGAGCUGCAUACAUCCCUGUUCCUUUCACAACUGCAAGAGCCACUUCUGCUUCACCACAGUGGCGCCCUCUGUCGUCUGAAGACAGUCCUGCCAGCCAAAAGCCCGGAACCUCUGCAAAUUUAACCUGUCCCCACACCUCAGCCCCUAGACUCCCCAGGGGCCGUUCUUUGUCACCUCAUCCUUCAUCCACUCACCUGUUCAUCUCCACAUUUAAGUACUCACUGAGACUCUUCAGGAGAGCACCUGACGGUCUCUACUGUAUGCACGAGUAAACUGGGAAUGGAGAAGUGGAA